UGGGGAAUAUUGCACAAUGGGGGAAACCCUGAUGCAGCGACGCCGCGUGCGGGAUGAAGGCCUUCGGGUUGUAAACCGCUUUCAGCAGGGACGAGGCCUUAUGGUGACGGUACCUGCAGAAGAAGCUCCGGCUAAAUACGUGCCAGCAGCCGCGGUAAUACGUAUGGAGCAAGCGUUAUCCGGAUUCAUUGGGCGUAAAGCGCUCGUAGGCGGUCUGUUAGGUCGGCAAGUUAAAUCCGGGGGCUCAACCCCCGUCCGCUUCCGAUACCGGCAGACUUGAGUUUGGUAGGGGAAGGUGGAAUUCCUAGUGUAGCGGUGGAAUGCGCAGAUAUUAGGAAGAACACCGGUGGCGAAGGCGGCCUUCUGGGCCAUAACUGACGCUGAGGAGCGAAAGCUAGGGGAGCGAACAGG
Molecule: ribosomal RNA, 411 nt
Filed under: Verrucomicrobiota bacterium
Lineage: Bacteria; Pseudomonadati; Verrucomicrobiota
Description: Verrucomicrobia bacterium partial 16S ribosomal RNA
Rfam family: Bacterial small subunit ribosomal RNA
Source: RNAcentral